Molecule: ribosomal RNA, 252 nt
Filed under: uncultured bacterium
Lineage: Bacteria
Description: partial 16S ribosomal RNA
Rfam family: Bacterial small subunit ribosomal RNA
Source: RNAcentral
UACGUAGGGGGCAAGCGUUGUCCGGAUUUAUUGGGCGUAAAGAGCGUGUAGGCGGCUUGGUAGGUCUCGCGUCAAAACCUGAGGCUCAACCUCAGUUCGCGUGGGAAACCACCUAGCUAGAGGCCGGAAGAGGAGAACGGAAUUCCCAGUGUAGCGGUGAAAUGCGCAGAUAUUGGGAAGAACACCAGUGGCGAAGGCGGUUCUCUGGGACGGUACUGACGCUGAGACGCGAAAGCGUGGGGAGCGAACAGG